GUGCCGCGGUCGCCGCCGUUGCCGCCGUUGCCGCCGUUGGGGUUGGCGGCGCUGACGCCGUUGGCGCCGGUGCCCCCGGUGCCGCCGGCUGCGGCGUU
Molecule: transfer RNA, 98 nt
Filed under: Mycobacterium kiyosense
Lineage: Bacteria; Bacillati; Actinomycetota; Actinomycetes; Mycobacteriales; Mycobacteriaceae
Also listed under: 1 other name
Description: Mycobacterium sp. IWGMT90018-18076 tRNA-Pro
Source: RNAcentral